GUCGAACGCGAAAGUCCCCUUCGGGGGGCGAGUAGAGUGGCGCACGGGUGAGUAACACGUAGGUAAUCUACCUUUGGAUGGGGAAUAACAACCGGAAACGGUUGCUAAUACCGCAUAAUGCAGCGGCACCUAAUGGUGACAGUCGUUAAAGCGGGGGAUCGCAAGACCUCGCGUCUGAAGAGGAGCCUGCGGCAGAUUAGCUAGUUGGUAGGGUAACGGCUUACCAAGGCGAUGAUCUGUAGCCGGCCUGAGAGGGCGGUCGGCCACACUGACACUGACAUACGGGUCAGACUCCUACGGGAGGCAGCAGUCGGGAAUUUUGGGCAAUGGGCGAAAGCCUGACCCAGCAACGCCGCGUGAAGGAUGAAAUCCCUCGGGAUGUAAACUUCGCAAGAACGGGAAGAAUAAGUAAGAGUUAAUAUCUCUUAUGAUGACGGUACUGUUUGUAAGCUCCGGCUAACUCCGUGCCAGCAGCCGCGGUAAUACGGGGGGAGCAAGCGUUGUUCGGAUUUACUGGGCGUAAAGGGCGCGUAGGCGGCCACCGCAAGUCGACUGUGAAAUCUCCGGGCUUAACUCGGAAAGGUCAGCCGAUACUGCGGGGCUAGAGUGCAGAAGGGGCAACUGGAAUUCUCGGUGUAGCGGUGAAAUGCGUAGAUUUCGAGAGGAACACCUGCGGCGAAGGCGGGUUGCUGGGCUGACACUGACGCUGAGGCGCGAAAGCUAGGGGAGCGAACGGGAUUAGAUACCCCGGUAGUCCUAGCCUUAAACGAUGAAUGCUUGGUGUCUGGGGUUUUAUAG
Molecule: ribosomal RNA, 798 nt
Filed under: uncultured Actinomycetes bacterium
Lineage: Bacteria; Bacillati; Actinomycetota; Actinomycetes
Description: bacterial SSU rRNA
Rfam family: Bacterial small subunit ribosomal RNA
Source: RNAcentral